Molecule: long non-coding RNA, 289 nt
Organism: Gallus gallus (chicken)
Lineage: Eukaryota; Metazoa; Chordata; Aves; Galliformes; Phasianidae
Source: Ensembl
UUUUCCGUGCCUUUCAUCCCAGCCCACACGUCAUUUUCCACCCAAAAAGGGGAGCGAGCAACCUGGAGAGGAUAUCAGAGUCCGAAGGUGUUACCACUCCUCCACUUAAUGAAGAAAAAUCACGAUGGAGGCGGCCGGAGGCAACGCAAUGGGAUUGCAGCGGGGAGGAGAGGACUGUGUUAACACCCAUUAAUAAUAAAUAACCGCCAUAAUGAGCUCUAAUUAAUUUGGUCACACGUUAGAGAUCGCUUCCUUCUUUUUUAAGCUUGUAGGUUUUUCUGUGCCGGAG